AGCUUGUGCUUGGCCUCAAACAAUCUAGGAUCCUCAUCCUUGCUAACUAUAUUUUUUGUGCCCCUUAAGAUGCAAAGAAAUUUAAGUAAACAGUAGUUAUAUACUGUUAUUUUAUCAUGGGGUGUGAUCCUCUAACGUGAUACUUGUAGAACUGCUACAAGGGUAUAUUAAAUUCUAGACCGAUGUUACCUGGAAUGUGGAUUGUUUUGAUUAGUAGAAUCAGUAAGUUACAUAGGUAAAACAUCGUACCCUAGGAGUAGCUUUAGAAAGAAAUGCUUAUAAUUAGAAAACAUCUAAAUGCAACAAAGCUAAAUUUCAGAGAAGAUGUUUAGUUACAUCAAACCAGUUGAUUUUUCUAUAUAAAAAAAAAAAUCUAGUAUAUUUAUGAACAUCUAAUAAUGAGUAAAAUAUUGAUAUUUUUGAAAUUAGAGGUAUCUACGACCUCUGUACUGGACUUCGCCACGAGCAGUUGGUAUCGUUAGAAACUCACCAUAGAGAUUGACAUAGAAGCUUAUGAAAGUGUUUCUCAUCAAUUAAAUGUAUCAUGUGCGGAAUAUUAAAUGACUCAUACAAGGAACCGAUUUUAAAGUGACAAACUUAAUAAUCACAACUUAUUCCAACACCAGAAUCAUCCAUUCUGCCACUCCAAAUUGAUCAUAAAGCCCUAUAACUUUCAGGAUGUCAUACCCAAAUACCAUAAAAAAUGAGUUUUCUAGAUGUCAGAUACAGUAAACUAGUAAACUCAGAAUGUAUUCAACAAAGAAUGUCUGCUUCCAAAGCCUACUAGCAUUUAAUACAAACCAUCCAGUUAAUGUCUGUAGGUUAUUUACGAAGACAGCGAAAGCCUACUAGCAUUUAAUACAAACCAUCCAGUUAAUGUCUGUAGGUUAUUUACGAAGACAGCGAAAGCCUACUAGCAUUUAAUACAAACCAUCCAGUUAAUGUCUGUAGGUUAUUUAUGAAGACAGCGAAAGCCUACUAGCAUUUAAUACAAACCAUCCAGUUAAUGUCUGUAGGUUAUUUACGAAGACAGCGAAAGCCUACUAGCAUUUAAUACAAACCAUCCAGUUAAUGUCUGUAGGUUAUUUACGAAGACAGCUAAGAUAUAUGACUAGCCAUAACCAGCAAUAUGAGGUAAACUUUUUAACAAUUAUUAAAAUAAAACAGAAGCAGUAAUAUUGUGCAUAAAUCAAACACAUUUCUGUCGCAAAUACACAUAGUCAUCCUUCUCUUAACAUAAACUAUAAUCUCGCUUUCAUUACUGGUUGCAACGCUUUACACCUAUGCCAAAUGCAAGAACAGGUAAACCAGAAAAGAAUGAACAUGAUCACAAGGAAUGCAAAUUCAAAAACAACAGAACUUAAGUACAUCCAAUAGAACUUAGAAUCGAGAAACAAACCAUUCAUGAGGAUAAGGAGUACAGGCAUUUAGAAAAUUUCACCUUAUAAAGACAUCCACUCAACAAUAGUCAAUUCUGCUACAUCAACAUAGCAAGGAUUGCGUAAAUGCUUGAUGGUAAAAAGCUAAUGGAUAUUCCCUCUUCUAUUUACGUUUUACUUAUGCUAUGAUUAACUUAAUAAUCUUAUAUCUCUAACAAAUUAUUAUUCUUUGUCACUUAAAACACAUUACCUAAAGUUUCUUGAAAACCUACCUCCAAGUGUCAAAAAGUACGCCACAACCAUGAAUUAAAAUCCAAAUAUGCAAAAUUGUAAGUGUCAAAAGUGAGCUAGCUAUCCAAUAAAGAUGUCCAUUUUAGGCAGCAAGUCACACGUAUAGACUAUAUGGUUCAACACAAGUCUUAUCUUCGCCAAGCUCCUAACUAUUUUCAUGGAAAAUACAAACAUAAUAAUAACUAAAUGCACGUUGAGAGUAACACCAGUAAGGAGUUAGCUUCCUUGCA
This 1900-nucleotide long non-coding RNA is filed under the name Panax ginseng (ginseng). Its description in RNAcentral is "long non-coding RNA (PGIN_LNC002989)". Lineage: Eukaryota; Viridiplantae; Streptophyta; Magnoliopsida; Apiales; Araliaceae. The record is from RNAcentral.